Mytilus californianus (California mussel) is the source of this 314-nucleotide long non-coding RNA. RefSeq lists it as uncharacterized. The record is from RefSeq and is a predicted model, not a curated record. The transcript has 2 exons. NCBI's taxonomy places the organism in Eukaryota, Metazoa, Mollusca, Bivalvia, Mytilida, Mytilidae.
CUGCUUUACUAUGUGGCUAUAUAGAUAUACAUAAUAUUAAAAGUGCAAAUAUGGUCAGUUUUGGUUGAUGCUGUAAAAUAAUUUUGUUAUACAAGUCAGCCUGAGGUAUCAAAACUACUGAAAUUUUCUUACGAGACAAUAUUUUGAAUAAAAAGAGGACAUGCUGGCUAUCUAGAUUGAUGGGGACAAAUUUUUGUUGUCAUUGUAUUGCAAUGUUGCUGUCAUUUGUAUUAUACAAUCCAUCCUGACAUCAAAAUAUUGCUGAUUUACUAUGCGGCUAUAUAGAUUUACAUAAUAAAGUGCAAAUAUGGUCA